Non-coding RNA from Acanthosepion pharaonis, 89 nucleotides. NCBI's taxonomy places the organism in Eukaryota, Metazoa, Mollusca, Cephalopoda, Sepiida, Sepiidae. The record is from the annotation of a GenBank genome assembly.
CGGUUCUUGUAUGAUCACUGAAGUUAAACAACAUUGAGCCUGGUCAGUACCUAGAAGGGUGACCACUUGGGAAUGUCAGGUGUUGUAAG